This 460-nucleotide ribosomal RNA is filed under the name uncultured bacterium. Its description in RNAcentral is "partial 16S ribosomal RNA". It matches the Rfam family "Bacterial small subunit ribosomal RNA", at positions 338 to 795 of the family's 1533-position model. The record is from RNAcentral.
CCUACGGGUGACAGCAGUGAGGAAUAUUGGUCAAUGGACGAGAGUCUGAACCAGCCAAGUAGCGUGAAGGAUGACUGCCCUAUGGGUUGUAAACUUCUUUUAUAUGGGAAUAAAAUGUUCCACGUUUGGGAUUUUGUAUGUACCAUAUGAAUAAGGAUCGGCUAACUCCGUGCCAGCAGCCGCGGUAAUACGGAGGAUCCGAGCGUUAUCCGGAUUUAUUGGGGUUAAAGGGUGCGUAGGUGGAUUGUUAAGUCAGAUGUGAAAGUUUGCGGCGCAACCGUAAAAUUGCAGUUGAAACUGGCAGUCUUGAGUACGGUAGAGGUAGGCGGAAUUCGUGGUGUAGCGGUGAAAUGCUUAGAUAUCACGAAGAACUCCGAUUGCGAAGGCAGUUCACUGGACUGCAACUGACACUGAGGCUCGAAAGUGUGGGUAUCAAACAGGAUUAGAUACCCGUGUAGUC